RNAcentral lists this ribosomal RNA (1465 nucleotides) under Escherichia coli. RNAcentral describes it as "bacterial SSU rRNA". It matches the Rfam family "Bacterial small subunit ribosomal RNA". Lineage: Bacteria; Pseudomonadati; Pseudomonadota; Gammaproteobacteria; Enterobacterales; Enterobacteriaceae. The record is from RNAcentral.
CUUUGCUGACGAGUGGCGGACGGGUGAGUAAUGUCUGGGAAACUGCCUGAUGGAGGGGGAUAACUACUGGAAACGGUAGCUAAUACCGCAUAACGUCGCAAGACCAAAGAGGGGGACCUUCGGGCCUCUUGCCAUCGGAUGUGCCCAGAUGGGAUUAGCUUGUUGGUGGGGUAACGGCUCACCAAGGCGACGAUCCCUAGCUGGUCUGAGAGGAUGACCAGCCACACUGGAACUGAGACACGGUCCAGACUCCUACGGGAGGCAGCAGUGGGGAAUAUUGCACAAUGGGCGCAAGCCUGAUGCAGCCAUGCCGCGUGUAUGAAGAAGGCCUUCGGGUUGUAAAGUACUUUCAGCGGGGAGGAAGGGAGUAAAGUUAAUACCUUUACUCAUUGACGUUACCCGCAGAAGAAGCACCGGCUAACUCCGUGCCAGCAGCCGCGGUAAUACGGAGGGUGCAAGCGUUAAUCGGAAUUACUGGGCGUAAAGCGCACGCAGGCGGUUUGUUAAGUCAGAUGUGAAAUCCCCGGGCUCAACCUGGGAACUGCAUCUGAUACUGGCAAGCUUGAGUCUCGUAGAGGGGGGUAGAAUUCCAGGUGUAGCGGUGAAAUGCGUAGAGAUCUGGAGGAAUACCGGUGGCGAAGGCGGCCCCCUGGACGAAGACUGACGCUCAGGUGCGAAAGCGUGGGGAGCAAACAGGAUUAGAUACCCUGGUAGUCCACGCCGUAAACGAUGUCGACUUGGAGGUUGUGCCCUUGAGGCGUGGCUUCCGGAGCUAACGCGUUAAGUCGACCGCCUGGGGAGUACGGCCGCAAGGUUAAAACUCAAAUGAAUUGACGGGGGCCCGCACAAGCGGUGGAGCAUGUGGUUUAAUUCGAUGCAACGCGAAGAACCUUACCUGGUCUUGACAUCCACGGAAGUUUUCAGAGAUGAGAAUGUGCCUUCGGGAACCGUGAGACAGGUGCUGCAUGGCUGUCGUCAGCUCGUGUUGUGAAAUGUUGGGUUAAGUCCCGCAACGAGCGCAACCCUUAUCCUUUGUUGCCAGCGGUCCGGCCGGGAACUCAAAGGAGACUGCCAGUGAUAAACUGGAGGAAGGUGGGGAUGACGUCAAGUCAUCAUGGCCCUUACGACCAGGGCUACACACGUGCUACAAUGGCGCAUACAAAGAGAAGCGACCUCGCGAGAGCAAGCGGACCUCAUAAAGUGCGUCGUAGUCCGGAUUGGAGUCUGCAACUCGACUCCAUGAAGUCGGAAUCGCUAGUAAUCGUGGAUCAGAAUGCCACGGUGAAUACGUUCCCGGGCCUUGUACACACCGCCCGUCACACCAUGGGAGUGGGUUGCAAAAGAAGUAGGUAGCUUAACCUUCGGGAGGGCGCUUACCACUUUGUGAUUCAUGACUGGGGUGAAGUCGUAACAAGGUAACCGUAGGGGAACCUGCGGUUGGAUCACCUCCUUACCUUAAAGAAGC